This 418-nucleotide ribosomal RNA is filed under the name uncultured eukaryote. Its description in RNAcentral is "bacterial SSU rRNA". It matches the Rfam family "Eukaryotic small subunit ribosomal RNA", at positions 592 to 1017 of the family's 1831-position model. The record is from RNAcentral.
CAAUAGCGUAUAUUAAAGUUGUUGCAGUUAAAAAGCUCGUAGUUGGAUUUAUGCCGAGGACGACCGGUCCGCCCUCUGGGUGAGUAUCUGGCUCUGCCUGGGCAUCUUCUUGGAGAACGUUACUGCACUUGACUGUGUGGUGCGGUAUCCAGGACUUUACUUGAGGAAAUUAGAGUGUUCAAAGCGGGCUUUCGCUUGAAUAUAUUAGCAUGGAAUAACACGAUAGGACUCCUGUCCUAUUUUGUUGGUCUUCGGGACGGGAGUAAUGAUUAAGAGGAACAGUUGGGGGCAUUCGUAUUUCAUUGUCAGAGGUGAAAUUCUUGGAUUUAUGAAAGACGAACUUCUGCGAAAGCAUUUGCCAAGGAUGUUUUCAUUGAUCAAGAACGAAAGUUGGGGGCUCGAAGAUGAUUAGAUACCA